AUUUAAUUAAAUGUAUAGGGUGCUCUUUAAAUAGAGUUAAAAGGGAAAGUGGUGCAAAACCACUACAGCCCCCGCUACUGUAAUUGGGAAUGAAAUCCGAGGAACCAUUAGGAAACUAAGAAGGUCGGAAAGUAAGAUGAUCCAUGAGUCAGGAAACCUGCCUUAUACUAUGACAAAAC
This 179-nucleotide non-coding RNA is filed under the name Andreesenella formicacetica. The record is from RNAcentral. Lineage: Bacteria; Bacillati; Bacillota; Clostridia; Peptostreptococcales; Natronincolaceae.